AACGAACGCUGGCGGCAGGCCUAACACAUGCAAGUCGAGCGAGGACUUCGGUCCUAGCGGCGGACGGGUGAGUAACGCGUGGGAACGUGCCCUUUGCUUCGGAAUAGCCCUGGGAAACUGGGAGUAAUACCGGAUGAGCCCUUUGGGGGAAAGAUUUAUCGGCGAAGGAUCGGCCCGCGUUGGAUUAGGUAGUUGGUGGGGUAAUGGCCUACCAAGCCGACGAUCCAUAGCUGGUUUGAGAGGAUGAUCAGCCACACUGGGACUGAGACACGGCCCAGACUCCUACGGGAGGGAGCAGUGGGGAAUCUUAGAAAAUGGGGGAAACCCUGAUCUAGCCAUGCCGCGUGAGCGAUGAAGGCCUUAGGGUUGUAAAGCUCUUUCAGCUGGGAAGAUAAUGACGGUACCAGCAGAAGAAGCCCCGGCUAACUCCGUG
RNAcentral lists this ribosomal RNA (433 nucleotides) under uncultured bacterium. Its description in RNAcentral is "partial 16S ribosomal RNA". It matches the Rfam family "Bacterial small subunit ribosomal RNA", at positions 29 to 507 of the family's 1533-position model. The record is from RNAcentral.